Mauremys mutica (yellowpond turtle) is the source of this 1218-nucleotide long non-coding RNA. RefSeq lists it as uncharacterized. The transcript has 7 exons. The record is from RefSeq and is a predicted model, not a curated record. Lineage: Eukaryota; Metazoa; Chordata; Testudines; Geoemydidae.
CCCGUUGCUAUGAAGGAGUUGGAGGGUGACUGGGACUGUGCUGAUGAGAUUGAAGGAAUGAGGAGGCAAGGAACGAGAUGACUCCACUAACUAUGACAAUGUGCCAUUUACUGGAGAAAGUCCUGGGGUCUCCAAGGGAAGAUGGAGGGCCCAAAUCAGGACUUGCAGUGACAGCACAAGGUAAAUGGACAAUUAUUUAAAUCGUGCUGAGAGUGCCAUCAGCUCCCACAGACUAACACGGCUACCACUCUGAAUGCCUGAAGAAACAUUGAACUGGGGGGAGGGGUCCCAACCAGUAAGGACUGCAAAGAGCAUUUGACAGACUGCGGGUGAGCUCAGCUUACAUGGGUAAGCAGACAAUGUCUUCAACUGUUAUGCACAAGCUUUCUGUGAGCUCAGCUCCUAUUGACAACUACACGUUGACUUGCAGUGAUGCUGAGAGUCCAAUCAGCUCCAUCAGGUAAAUGCACAACGACUGAAAUCACCUUGACAGUGCAAUCAGUGGACAAGACUCUCACUCUUUUAGACAGGCUGCCCGGGAACUCAGCUCCCAUGGCAAAUGGACAGUGGUCUCCGCUGUUAUGGAUAAAUGCUGAAACCAGCCAGUUGCUGGCAAGCCCCCUGCCUCAAGCCAGCAGCCAGUGAUGUUUACAUUGACAAGGAUUUCUCUGCAGUAAAAUGCCAUGAGCCCACAACAGGAGCUGGGCCAGCCUGGCAGGCACAGGACAGAGCAUGUCUUUGUCUCUACGAGCCAUGGGAUGAUCAGCAACCGACUAUGGAGGAAGCCACACUCAGGUAAAAGGAAAAUGAAUAUAUGCUGGCAGUGCAAUCAGCGCCUACAGUAAAAUGCCAUGGACUCACAACAGCGGCUGGCCACCCAGCAGGCACAAGAGGGAGCCAUAAAAGAGGGAGCCAUAAAACGGAUGCCACCUCCUGGGGGAGGGCAGAGAGAUCAAUGGUGUCUUUUGGGGAUUAGGCAAGGCUGUCUAGACAGAGGAAGAGGAGCGAGCAAGGGGCAAUGUCUGCCCUGCACCAAAGUCAACCCCUGGAGAAAAUUCAUGUAGUAGUUGGGACAGUCUCCUCAUUCCAAAAACCUUUAGGGAACUACAGGAGAACUAACGUGCAAACCAAACUGUCACAAUGGUGCUCAGCAACUUUUGAGAACUCCCAACUGAAACUUUGUCUCUGUGGUCACUGCAGCACCAAUUCCCAGCUCCU